This 72-nucleotide transfer RNA is filed under the name Ovis aries (sheep). It matches the Rfam family "tRNA". From Rfam's summary of the family: Transfer RNA (tRNA) molecules are approximately 80 nucleotides in length. Their secondary structure includes four short double-helical elements and three loops (D, anti-codon, and T loops). Lineage: Eukaryota; Metazoa; Chordata; Mammalia; Artiodactyla; Bovidae. The record is from Rfam by way of RNAcentral.
UCCCCUCUGGCUCAGCUGGUAAAGAAUCCGCUUGCAAUGUGGGAGACCUGGGUUUGAUCCCCGGGUUGGGAA